UACGGAGGGGGCUAGCGUUGUUCGGAAUUACUGGGCGUAAAGCGCGCGUAGGCGGCUUUGUAAGUUAGAGGUGAAAGCCCGGGGCUCAACUCCGGAAUUGCCUUUAAGACUGCAUCGCUAGAAUCGUGGAGAGGUAAGUGGAAUUCCGAGUGUAGAGGUGAAAUUCGUAGAUAUUCGCAAGAACACCAGUGGCGAAGGCGGCUCACUGGCCCGGUACUGACGCUGAGGCACGAAAGCGUGGGGAGCAAACAGG
This 253-nucleotide ribosomal RNA is filed under the name uncultured bacterium. RNAcentral's name for it is "partial 16S ribosomal RNA". It matches the Rfam family "Bacterial small subunit ribosomal RNA", at positions 524 to 776 of the family's 1533-position model. The record is from RNAcentral.